Molecule: ribosomal RNA, 253 nt
Filed under: uncultured bacterium
Lineage: Bacteria
Description: partial 16S ribosomal RNA
Rfam family: Bacterial small subunit ribosomal RNA
Source: RNAcentral
UACGUAGGGUGCGAGCGUUGUCCGGAAUUAUUGGGCGUAAAGAGCUUGUAGGCGGUUUAUCGCGUCUGCCGUGAAAAUUCGAGGCUCAACCUCGAACUUGCGGUGGGUACGGGCAGACUAGAGUGUGGUAGGGGAGACUGGAAUUCCUGGUGUAGCGGUGAAAUGCGCAGAUAUCAGGAGGAACACCGAUGGCGAAGGCAGGUCUCUGGGCCAUAACUGACGCUGAGAAGCGAAAGCAUGGGGAGCGAACAGG